CUACGGGGUGCACCAGUGAGGAAUAUUGGUCAAUGGGCGAAAGCCUGAACCGGCCAUGCCGCGUGAAGGAUGACGGCCCUAUGGGUUGUAAACUUCUUUUGUACGGGAAGAAACCCCUCUACGUGUAGAGGUUUGACGGUACCGUACGAAUAAGCAUCGGCUAAGCUCCGUGCCAGCAGCCGCGGUAAUACGGAGGAUGCAAGCGUUAUCCGGAUUUAUUGGGUUUAAAGGGUACGUAGGCGGAAACUUAAGUCAGUAGUGAAAUCCCGCAGCUUAACUGUGGAACUGUUAUUGAUACUGGGUUUCUUGAAUAUUGUUGAGGUAGGCGGAAUAAGUAAUGUAGCGGUGAAAUGCUUAGAUAUUACUUAGAACACCGAUUGCGAAGGCAGCUUACUAAGCAACUAUUGACGCUGAGGUACGAAAGCGUGGGGAGCGAACAGGAUUAGAUACCCGUGUAGUC
This 460-nucleotide ribosomal RNA is filed under the name uncultured bacterium. Its description in RNAcentral is "partial 16S ribosomal RNA". It matches the Rfam family "Bacterial small subunit ribosomal RNA", at positions 339 to 795 of the family's 1533-position model. The record is from RNAcentral.